AGUGUAGGCGGCUAUUUAAGUCGGAUGUGAAAGCCCCGGGCUCAACCUGGGAAUUGCAUUCGAAACUGAAUAGCUAGAGUUUGGUAGAGGUAAGUGGAAUUCCGGGUGUAGCGGUGAAAUGCGUAGAUAUCCGGAGGAACAUCAGUGGCGAAGGCGGCUUACUGGAUCAAAACUGACGCUGAGGCUCGAAAGCGUGGGGAGCAAACAGGAUUAGAUACCCUGGUAGUCC
Molecule: ribosomal RNA, 229 nt
Filed under: uncultured bacterium
Lineage: Bacteria
Description: partial 16S ribosomal RNA
Rfam family: Bacterial small subunit ribosomal RNA
Source: RNAcentral